AAGCCACCUGACGCGGUAAAAUUCCUCUAUACAGCCACACGUGCGUCUAUGGAAAUGCAACCCAAUUCGUAGAAGACAAAGGAGCCAACACCAACAUAAACGCAGGUAAAGAAAACUGGGACACACAUACCCAUACAUACACUCGUAAUAAAAGCAAAAGAAAUGUCAUAAAAAAAAUAAAAACAAAACGAAACAUAACUUGGCAUCCAAGGAGAACUGUUUGUUGCCCCGACUACCAAUUCAAUAGUUGUUGCUAGUGCCGAAAAUAUGAAUACAAAACCAAAAUAUGCUACGUAAAAAGAUAUUGCAAGUAUCAAAAAACGCCAAAGGGGAACACAAGAAACGAAUUUUG
Long non-coding RNA from Anastrepha ludens (Mexican fruit fly), 352 nucleotides. RefSeq lists it as uncharacterized. The transcript is spliced from 3 exons. The record is from RefSeq and is a predicted model, not a curated record. Lineage: Eukaryota; Metazoa; Arthropoda; Insecta; Diptera; Tephritidae.